RNAcentral lists this ribosomal RNA (259 nucleotides) under uncultured bacterium. Its description in RNAcentral is "partial 16S ribosomal RNA". It matches the Rfam family "Bacterial small subunit ribosomal RNA", at positions 524 to 783 of the family's 1533-position model. The record is from RNAcentral.
UACGAAGGGGGCUAGCGUUGCUCGGAAUUACUGGGCGUAAAGCGCACGUAGGCGGAUUGUUAAGUCGGGGGUGAAAUCCUGGAGCUCAACUCCAGAACUGCCUUCGAUACUGGCGAUCUCGAGUUCGGGAGAGGUGAGUGGAACUGCGAGUGUAGAGGUGAAAUUCGUAGAUAUUCGCAAGAACACCAGUGGCGAAGGCGGCUCACUGGCCCGAUACUGACGCUGAGGCACGAAAGCGUGGGAGCGAACGGGAUAGAAC